Molecule: ribosomal RNA, 468 nt
Filed under: uncultured bacterium
Lineage: Bacteria
Description: partial 16S ribosomal RNA
Rfam family: Bacterial small subunit ribosomal RNA
Source: RNAcentral
GACGAACGCUGGCGGCGUGCUUAACACAUGCAAGUCGAACGGAAAGGCCCUGCUCUUGUGGGGUGCUCGUGUGGCGAACGGGUGUGUAACACGUGAGUAACCUGCCCUUGACUUUGGGAUAACUUCAGGAAACUGGGGCUAAUACCGGAUAGGAGCUCCUGCUGCAUGGUGGGGGUUGGAAAGUUUCGGCGGGUGGGGAUGGACUCGCGGCUUAUCAGCUUGUUUGUGGGGUAGUGGCUUACCAAGGUUUUGAAGGGUAGCCGGCCUGAGAGGGUGACCGGCCACAUUGGGACUGAGGUACGGCCCAGACUCCAACGGGAGGCAGCAGUGGGAAAUAUGGCACAAUGGGCGGAAGCCUGAUGCAGCAACGCCGCGUGCGGGAUGACGGCCUUCGGGUUGUAAACCGCUUUCGCCUGUGACGAGGCGUGAGUGACGGUAAUGGGUAAAGAAGCACCGGCUAACUACGUG